AGCUGUGUGAUAAAUGCAAAGCGAACUAUUCUUUCGCCUUUUACUAAAGAAUACCGUGUAUUUGUCACUCAAAGCAGCAUACGCCAAUUUUUGGGAAAGGGUCUUCUUCAGAGGACCC
Non-coding RNA from Glycine soja, 118 nucleotides. Lineage: Eukaryota; Viridiplantae; Streptophyta; Magnoliopsida; Fabales; Fabaceae. The record is from Rfam.